This 1027-nucleotide ribosomal RNA is filed under the name Escherichia coli. RNAcentral describes it as "partial 23S ribosomal RNA". It matches the Rfam family "Bacterial large subunit ribosomal RNA", at positions 144 to 1212 of the family's 2925-position model. RNAcentral also lists the same sequence under 1 other name. Lineage: Bacteria; Pseudomonadati; Pseudomonadota; Gammaproteobacteria; Enterobacterales; Enterobacteriaceae. The record is from RNAcentral.
CACACUAUCAUUAACUGAAUCCAUAGGUUAAUGAGGCGAACCGGGGGAACUGAAACAUCUAAGUACCCCGAGGAAAAGAAAUCAACCGAGAUUCCCCCAGUAGCGGCGAGCGAACGGGGAGCAGCCCAGAGCCUGAAUCAGUGUGUGUGUUAGUGGAAGCGUCUGGAAAGGCGCGCGAUACAGGGUGACAGCCCCGUACACAAAAAUGCACAUACUGUGAGCUCGAUGAGUAGGGCGGGACACGUGGUAUCCUGUCUGAAUAUGGGGGGACCAUCCUCCAAGGCUAAAUACUCCUGACUGACCGAUAGUGAACCAGUACCGUGAGGGAAAGGCGAAAAGAACCCCGGCGAGGGGAGUGAAAAAGAACCUGAAACCGUGUACGUACAAGCAGUGGGAGCCUCUUAAUGGGGUGACUGCGUACCUUUUGUAUAAUGGGUCAGCGACUUAUAUUCUGUAGCAAGGUUAACCGAAUAGGGGAGCCGAAGGGAAACCGAGUCUUAACUGGGCGUUAAGUUGCAGGGUAUAGACCCGAAACCCGGUGAUCUAGCCAUGGGCAGGUUGAAGGUUGGGUAACACUAACUGGAGGACCGAACCGACUAAUGUUGAAAAAUUAGCGGAUGACUUGUGGCUGGGGGUGAAAGGCCAAUCAAACCGGGAGAUAGCUGGUUCUCCCCGAAAGCUAUUUAGGUAGCGCCUCGUGAAUUCAUCUCCGGGGGUAGAGCACUGUUUCGGCAAGGGGGUCAUCCCGACUUACCAACCCGAUGCAAACUGCGAAUACCGGAGAAUGUUAUCACGGGAGACACACGGCGGGUGCUAACGUCCGUCGUGAAGAGGGAAACAACCCAGACCGCCAGCUAAGGUCCCAAAGUCAUGGUUAAGUGGGAAACGAUGUGGGAAGGCCCAGACAGCCAGGAUGUUGGCUUAGAAGCAGCCAUCAUUUAAAGAAAGCGUAAUAGCUCACUGGUCGAGUCGGCCUGCGCGGAAGAUGUAACGGGGCUAAACCAUGCACCGAAGCUGCGGCAGCGAC